UUGACCUCGGAUCAGGUAGGGAUACCCGCUGAACUUAAGCAUAUCAAUAAGCGGAGGAAAAGAAACCAACAGGGAUUGCCUCAGUAACGGCGAGUGAAGCGCAACCGGCUCAAAU
RNAcentral lists this ribosomal RNA (115 nucleotides) under Anzia gregoriana. RNAcentral describes it as "partial 28S ribosomal RNA". It matches the Rfam family "Eukaryotic large subunit ribosomal RNA", at positions 1 to 114 of the family's 3401-position model. Lineage: Eukaryota; Fungi; Ascomycota; Lecanoromycetes; Lecanorales; Parmeliaceae. The record is from RNAcentral.